GACGUAGGGGACGAGCGUUGUCCGGAUUCAUUGGGCGUAAAGCGCGCGUAGGCGGUUCGGUAAGUCGGGUGUGAAAACACGAGGCUCAACCUCGUGCGUGCAUCCGAUACUGCCGGACUAGAGGUAGGUAGGGGAGAUCGGAAUUCCUGGUGUAGCGGUGAAAUGCGCAGAUAUCAGGAGGAACACCGGUGGCGAAGGCGGAUCUCUGGGCCUUACCUGACGCUGAGGAGCGAAAGCAUGGGGAGCAAACAGG
Molecule: ribosomal RNA, 253 nt
Filed under: uncultured bacterium
Lineage: Bacteria
Description: partial 16S ribosomal RNA
Rfam family: Bacterial small subunit ribosomal RNA
Source: RNAcentral